AAGAUUGCAUGGGGACUACUAAUCCUUAAUUCUGGGUAAGGCCAGGAGUCUUUGG
RNAcentral lists this transfer RNA (55 nucleotides) under Sphaerirostris lanceoides. RNAcentral describes it as "tRNA-Ser". The record is from RNAcentral. Lineage: Eukaryota; Metazoa; Acanthocephala; Palaeacanthocephala; Polymorphida; Centrorhynchidae.